GCCGAGGUGGUGGAACUGGUAGACGCACCGGACUCAAAAUCCGGCGCCGCAAGGCGUGGGGGUUCGAUUCCCCCUCUCGGCACCA
RNAcentral lists this transfer RNA (85 nucleotides) under Helicobacteraceae bacterium. Its description in RNAcentral is "tRNA-Leu". It matches the Rfam family "tRNA". From Rfam's summary of the family: Transfer RNA (tRNA) molecules are approximately 80 nucleotides in length. The record is from RNAcentral. Lineage: Bacteria; Pseudomonadati; Campylobacterota; Epsilonproteobacteria; Campylobacterales; Helicobacteraceae.